This 526-nucleotide ribosomal RNA is filed under the name uncultured eukaryote. RNAcentral's name for it is "SSU rRNA". It matches the Rfam family "Eukaryotic small subunit ribosomal RNA", at positions 77 to 604 of the family's 1831-position model. The record is from RNAcentral.
UACAGCGAAACUGCGAAUGGCUCAUUAUAUAAGUUCCUCUGUUUAUUUGAUAGUGCCUUACUACUUGGAUAACCGUGGUAAUUCUAGAGCUAAUACAUGCUAAAAACCCCGACUUCGGAAGGGGUGUAUUUAUUAGAUACAAAACCAAUGCCCUUCGGGGCUCUUUGGUGAUUCAUGAUAACUAUACGAAUCGCACGGCCUUGCGCCGGCGAUGGUUCAUUCAAAUUUCUUCCCUAUCAACUUUCGAUGUUUGGGUAUUGGCCAAACAUGGUUGCAACGGGUAACGGAGGGUUAGGGCUCGACCCCGGAGAAGGAGCCUGAGAAACGGCUACUACAUCCAAGGAAGGCAGCAGGCGCGCAAAUUACCCAAUCCCGACUCGGGGAGGUAGUGACAAUAAAUACUGAUACAGGGCCCUUUCGGGCCUUGUAAUUGGAAUGAGUACAAUUUAAAUCCCUUAACGAGGAACAAUUGGAGGGCAAGUCUGGUGCCAGCAGCCGCGGUAAUUCCAGCUCCAAUAGCGUAUAU